This 945-nucleotide ribosomal RNA is filed under the name uncultured Stenotrophomonas sp. RNAcentral describes it as "bacterial SSU rRNA". It matches the Rfam family "Bacterial small subunit ribosomal RNA", at positions 53 to 992 of the family's 1533-position model. The record is from RNAcentral. Lineage: Bacteria; Pseudomonadati; Pseudomonadota; Gammaproteobacteria; Lysobacterales; Lysobacteraceae.
ACCAUGCAGUCGAACGGCAGCACAGAGGAGCUUGCUCCUUGGGUGGCGAGUGGCGGACGGGUGAGGAAUACAUCGGAAUCUACUUUUUCGUGGGGGAUAACGUAGGGAAACUUACGCUAAUACCGCAUACGACCUACGGGUGAAAGCAGGGGACCUUCGGGCCUUGCGCGAUUGAAUGAGCCGAUGUCGGAUUAGCUAGUUGGCGGGGUAAAGGCCCACCAAGGCGACGAUCCGUAGCUGGUCUGAGAGGAUGAUCAGCCACACUGGAACUGAGACACGGUCCAGACUCCUACGGGAGGCAGCAGUGGGGAAUAUUGGACAAUGGGCGCAAGCCUGAUCCAGCCAUACCGCGUGGGUGAAGAAGGCCUUCGGGUUGUAAAGCCCUUUUGUUGGGAAAGAAAUCCAGCUGGCUAAUACCCGGUUGGGAUGACGGUACCCAAAGAAUAAGCACCGGCUAACUUCGUGCCAGCAGCCGCGGUAAUACGAAGGGUGCAAGCGUUACUCGGAAUUACUGGGCGUAAAGCGUGCGUAGGUGGUCGUUUAAGUCCGUUGUGAAAGCCCUGGGCUCAACCUGGGAACUGCAGUGGAUACUGGGCGACUAGAGUGUGGUAGAGGGUAGCGGAAUUCCUGGUGUAGCAGUGAAAUGCGUAGAGAUCAGGAGGAACAUCCAUGGCGAAGGCAGCUACCUGGACCAACACUGACACUGAGGCACGAAAGCGUGGGGAGCAAACAAGAUUAGAUACCCUGGUAGUCCACGCCCUAAACGAUGCGAACUGGAUGUUGGGUGCAAUUUGGCACGCAGUAUCGAAGCUAACGCGUUAAGUUCGCCGCCUGGCGAGUACGGUCGCAAGACUGAAACUCAAAGGAAUUGACGGGGCCCGCACAGCGUGGAGUAUGUGGUUUAUUCGAUGCUACGCGAGACCUUACCUGGUCUUGACAUGUCGA